AGAUGUAUCAAAAAAAAAAAAUGCACACCGAACACUCCAGUGUUCAUCAACCGUUAGAUCUUUUCAUCCGAUGGUCCAAAAAAGAUGUAAUCAUCUGUUCUUGUAAUGCUUCGAUGAACACACUAGAUAUCCUCUGCCCUCCACACUAACACCGCCACCCAUCUUGCUAUCCCGCGGCCGUGACAUCCGCCCCUACCAUAACAUCGCAGCCAUGAAAUCCUCUCCCUGACGACUGCUCCUCCCAAGCAUCACCUCACCGCUUCCCUACACACCUCGCUGCACCGCAGCCAUCGCCACUCUGUCGCCUAUCUGGUGUUGCCUCCUGUGUCCUCCCAGCUGCUGUGUGCAUCCUCCCGCCGGGCAGCUCGUCCUCUUGCUGCAAACCGCUUUCUCCCGUAGUAAAUGAAUUCCUCCGCCAUCGCGUUGCUCCGCACUUCCGUCAGCUGGUUCACAGAUCAGGUCAUGCGUCUGGUGUUGUCGCCGUCGUCUUCGAUCACUUUUCUGGUGCAGGUCUCGAGCAAUAUCUCGCACCGCCGCAAUCACUGUCUUUUAUUCUUCCUCAGUUUACUUGAAUGGAUGUAGAAAGCCCUAGACCACAAAUUUCUGCAAUGACAGUUUACGUCCAAAUAGCAGUAGAACCUAUCAUGGAUAUACUACGAGGACAAGCAUCCAAGCAAGCGUAAAGAUGUUUGAUUCAGUCGGAAGAACUCAAAAGAGGUUAUCCAAACAGGAAAUUCCAAAUCCUUGCAUAAUUUCGUGUAGCAACGGAAUCACGACGGCGAUGGCUGCGGGCCGGGAUCACCGAAGGAGACGGCCAAUUGGGGGUGUGGCCUUCGGUGGAGCACAACGGCAGAAUGGAGGGCGGUUGCGUCCGCUGCGGCAACAUGGAGGGCCACGGGCCCGCGACAUGGAGGGCAACAACGGCACCAGUGGUGUGGGAGGAAGAAGGCAGUUGAAGAGGUAACUUUAUCGCGCGGAGAUUGGUCUACUAGAGGGCUACAAUGUGGAGCCUUUUGUCUUGAGUGGUAGCACCCGUUCGCGGCAUGAAUCGGGAGUAAGAUUGCUACAAAGAAAUUUUUAUGGAUGAUUUAGGCCACCAGAUCAACUCAUGCGUAUAUUAUUAUUGGUUGCUACAGAAAAAAUUAACUCCUCAUUUUUAUAUCAGUGUAGAUAAUCUCUCUUCAAAUUACACUCCGUCUCCGUGUAUUAUUAUUAUACAUGAUUCAUAUGUGCACGUAUUAUCUGUUUGGUUAAGCACAAGCGGUUUGAUCUUUUUACACAUUGAAGGGUUAUAACUCCUUAAUUUUAUA
Oryza brachyantha (malo sina) is the source of this 1310-nucleotide long non-coding RNA. RefSeq lists it as uncharacterized. The transcript has 4 exons. The record is from RefSeq and is a predicted model, not a curated record. Lineage: Eukaryota; Viridiplantae; Streptophyta; Magnoliopsida; Poales; Poaceae.